RNAcentral lists this ribosomal RNA (355 nucleotides) under uncultured bacterium. Its description in RNAcentral is "bacterial SSU rRNA". It matches the Rfam family "Bacterial small subunit ribosomal RNA", at positions 527 to 881 of the family's 1533-position model. The record is from RNAcentral.
GGAGGAUCCGAGCGUUAUCCGGAUUUAUUGGGUUUAAAGGGAGCGCAGANGGANGNUUAAGUCAGUNGUGAAAGUUUGCGGCUCAACCGUAAAAUNGCAGUUGAUACUGGAUAUCUUGAGUGCAGUUGAGGCAGGCGGAAUUCGUGGUGUAGCGGUGAAAUGCGUAGAUAUUAGGAGGAACAUCAGUGGCGAAGGCGGCCUGCUGGGCUUUUACUGACGCUGAGGCUCGAAAGCGUGGGGAGCAAACAGGAUUAGAUACCCUGGUAGUCCACGCUGUAAACGAUGAUUACUAGGUGUCGGGUGGCAAAGCCAUUCGGUGCCGCAGCCAACGCAAUAAGUAGUCCACCUGGGGAGU